ACCGUAGGGCCCGAGCGUUACCCGGAAUCACUGGGCGUAAAGCGCACGCAGGCGGCCUGGUAAGUCGGGCGUGAAAUCUCCCAGCUCAACUGGGAGGGGCCGUCCGAUACUGCUGGGCUUGAGGGCGGGAGAGGGAGGUGGAAUUCCCGGUGUAGCGGUGAAAUGCGUAGAGAUCGGGAGGAACGCCAGUGGGGAAGCCGGCCUCCUGGCCCGUCCCUGACGCUCAGGUGCGAAAGCCAGGGGAGAGAACGGG
This 253-nucleotide ribosomal RNA is filed under the name uncultured bacterium. Its description in RNAcentral is "partial 16S ribosomal RNA". It matches the Rfam family "Bacterial small subunit ribosomal RNA", at positions 524 to 776 of the family's 1533-position model. The record is from RNAcentral.